Anolis sagrei ordinatus is the source of this 593-nucleotide long non-coding RNA. RefSeq lists it as uncharacterized. NCBI's taxonomy places the organism in Eukaryota, Metazoa, Chordata, Lepidosauria, Squamata, Anolidae. The record is from RefSeq and is a predicted model, not a curated record.
UUCGCCAUUUUUCUGUGGCAUCUUAGGUGAUAUCUUUCUUAUUGUCCUUCUGUUAUUUUACAAAUUUUGCUAGGAAGGAAUGGAUCCCAUGAUCCCUCACUGUUGGUUAUACUGGGGACUCUCAUGUGGAGAUCCAGGCAUUUCCUAUUACUGUUUUCUGACACUGCCAAAGUAGCUAGGUGCUAUAACGACUGUUGGAGCGAAGAGCAGGAUCGAAGUUUUAUUUGAUUUGUCAUAUAAGUGGGAAGCUGUGUCAGCUCAACAAACGAAAGCGAAAUUUGAUUUUAAACAUGUUCACUUGUGCAGAGGCCAAUUGUAUGGAAAGAUUACGAUAAAUCCUUUCAGUGCCAGCUUUAAACUGAAGUGAAAAGCUGAAUAUCUCUCACAGCAAGUAUGCAAUUCCACACUGCAAAGAACAUCUGUGUCAGAUUCUCCUUAUGUAGCAAUAGGAAAUACGUACUUUUGGGCACUGCUACUUUCAGUAAGCCACAGAAUCCCACUGCAACCAUUGGGAGUUGUAAUAAUGAUUUUUAAAAAACAAAAUAACUUUCUCAAGCAAUUUUCUUAUGGGAAAUAAAUCUACUGGAAAUGAC